This 713-nucleotide ribosomal RNA is filed under the name Peribacillus simplex. Its description in RNAcentral is "bacterial SSU rRNA". It matches the Rfam family "Bacterial small subunit ribosomal RNA", at positions 40 to 736 of the family's 1533-position model. Lineage: Bacteria; Bacillati; Bacillota; Bacilli; Caryophanales; Bacillaceae. The record is from RNAcentral.
GGGCGGGUGCUAUACAUGCAAGUCGAGCGAAUCGAUGGGAGCUUGCUCCCUGAGAUUAGCGGCGGACGGGUGAGUAACACGUGGGCAACCUGCCUAUAAGACUGGGAUAACUUCGGGAAACCGGAGCUAAUACCGGAUACGUUCUUUUCUCGCAUGAGAGAAGAUGGAAAGACGGUUUACGCUGUCACUUAUAGAUGGGCCCGCGGCGCAUUAGCUAGUUGGUGAGGUAAUGGCUCACCAAGGCGACGAUGCGUAGCCGACCUGAGAGGGUGAUCGGCCACACUGGGACUGAGACACGGCCCAGACUCCUACGGGAGGCAGCAGUAGGGAAUCUUCCGCAAUGGACGAAAGUCUGACGGAGCAACGCCGCGUGAACGAAGAAGGCCUUCGGGUCGUAAAGUUCUGUUGUUAGGGAAGAACAAGUACCAGAGUAACUGCUGGUACCUUGACGGUACCUAACCAGAAAGCCACGGCUAACUACGUGCCAGCAGCCGCGGUAAUACGUAGGUGGCAAGCGUUGUCCGGAAUUAUUGGGCGUAAAGCGCGCGCAGGUGGUUCCUUAAGUCUGAUGUGAAAGCCCACGGCUCAACCGUGGAGGGUCAUUGGAAACUGGGGAACUUGAGUGCAGAAGAGGAAAGUGGAAUUCCAAGUGUAGCGGUGAAAUGCGUAGAGAUUUGGAGGAACACCAGUGGCGAAGGCGACUUUCUGGUCUG